AAAUUGAAGAGUUUGAUCAUGGCUCAGAUUGAACGCUGGCGGCAGGCCUAACACAUGCAAGUCGAGCGGAAACGACACUAACAAUCCUUCGGGUGCGUUAAUGGGCGUCGAGCGGCGGACGGGUGAGUAAUGCCUAGGAAAUUGCCUUGAUGUGGGGGAUAACCAUUGGAAACGAUGGCUAAUACCGCAUGAUGCCUACGGGCCAAAGAGGGGGACCUUCGGGCCUCUCGCGUCAAG
Molecule: ribosomal RNA, 237 nt
Filed under: Vibrio cyclitrophicus
Lineage: Bacteria; Pseudomonadati; Pseudomonadota; Gammaproteobacteria; Vibrionales; Vibrionaceae
Description: partial 16S ribosomal RNA
Rfam family: Bacterial small subunit ribosomal RNA
Source: RNAcentral